Molecule: ribosomal RNA, 328 nt
Filed under: uncultured bacterium
Lineage: Bacteria
Description: bacterial SSU rRNA
Rfam family: Bacterial small subunit ribosomal RNA
Source: RNAcentral
ACAGAUCGUUCAGAGUUUGAUCCUGGCUCAGGAUGAACGCUGGCGGCGUGCCUAACACAUGCAAGUCGAGCGAUCUUCUUCGGAAGAGAGCGGCGGACGGGUGAGUAACGCGUGGGUAACCUGCCCUGUACACACGGAUAACAUACCGAAAGGUAUGCUAAUACGAGAUAAUAUGCUUUUAUCGCAUGGUAGAAGUAUCAAAGCUUUUGCGGUACAGGAUGGACCCGCGUCUGAUUAGCUAGUUGGUGAGGUAACGGCUCACCAAGGCGACGAUCAGUAGCCGACCUGAGAGGGUGAUCGGCCACAUUGGAACUGAGACACGGUCCAA